GACGAACGCUGGCGGCGUGCCUAACACAUGCAAGUCGAACGGGGUAAAGAGCUUCGGUUUUUUACUUAGUGGCGAACGGGUGAGUAACGCGUGAAGAACCUGCCUUUCAGUGGGGGACAACAGUUGGAAACGACUGCUAAUACCGCAUGACACUGAUGAGGGGCAUCCCUUAUCAGUCAAAGCUUAAUGUGCUGGAAGAUGGCUUCGCGUCUGAUUAGCUAGAUGGCGGGUAACGCCCACCAUGGCGACGAUCAGUAGCCGGUCUGAGAGGAUGAACGGCCACAUUGGGACUGAGAUACGGGCCCAGACUCCUACGGGAGGCAGCAGUGGGGAAUAUUGGGCAAUGGGGGAAACCCUGACCCAGCAACGCCGCGUGAA
This 378-nucleotide ribosomal RNA is filed under the name uncultured bacterium. Its description in RNAcentral is "bacterial SSU rRNA". It matches the Rfam family "Bacterial small subunit ribosomal RNA", at positions 28 to 405 of the family's 1533-position model. The record is from RNAcentral.